GACGAACGCUGGCGGCGUGCUUAACACAUGCAAGUCGAGCGGUAAGGCCCUUUCGGGGGUACACGAGCGGCGAACGGGUGAGUAACACGUGGGUGACCUGCCCUCAGCUCUGGGAUAAGCCUGGGAAACCGGGUCUAAUACUGGAUAUGACUCCAUGACGCAUGUUGUGGGGUGGAAAGCCUUGUGCGGCUGAGGAUGGGCCCGCGGCCUAUCAGCUUGUUGGUGGGGUGANGGCCUACCAAGGCGACGACGGGUAGCCGGCCUGAGAGGGCGACCGGCCACACUGGGACUGAGACACGGCCCAGACUCCUACGGGAGGCAGCAGUGGGGAAUAUUGCGCAAUGGGCGGAAGCCUGACGCAGCGACGCCGCGUGGGGAUG
This 380-nucleotide ribosomal RNA is filed under the name uncultured bacterium. RNAcentral's name for it is "bacterial SSU rRNA". It matches the Rfam family "Bacterial small subunit ribosomal RNA", at positions 28 to 410 of the family's 1533-position model. The record is from RNAcentral.